Nemania sp. NC0429 is the source of this 95-nucleotide non-coding RNA. Lineage: Eukaryota; Fungi; Ascomycota; Sordariomycetes; Xylariales; Xylariaceae. The record is from the annotation of a GenBank genome assembly.
GCCCUGGUAGCUCAAUUGGUUAGAGCGUCGGACUUUUAUCGGUCUGCACUGGAAAGCAUAUCCGAAGGCUGCGGGUUCGACCCCCGCCUGGGGCG